RNAcentral lists this ribosomal RNA (253 nucleotides) under uncultured bacterium. RNAcentral's name for it is "partial 16S ribosomal RNA". It matches the Rfam family "Bacterial small subunit ribosomal RNA", at positions 524 to 776 of the family's 1533-position model. The record is from RNAcentral.
UACGAAGGGGGCUAGCGUUGCUCGGAAUCACUGGGCGUAAAGCGCACGUAGGCGGAUUGCUAAGUCAGGGGUGAAAUCCUGGAGCUCAACUCCAGAACUGCCCUUGAUACUGGCGGUCUCGAGUCCGGGAGAGGUGAGUGGAACUGCGAGUGUAGAGGUGAAAUUCGUAGAUAUUCGCAAGAACACCAGUGGCGAAGGCGGCUCACUGGCCCGGUACUGACGCUGAGGAACGAAAGCCAGGGGAGCGAACGGG